This 1296-nucleotide long non-coding RNA is filed under the name Apteryx haastii (Great spotted kiwi). Its description in RNAcentral is "lncRNA (ENSAHAG00000012651.1)". Lineage: Eukaryota; Metazoa; Chordata; Aves; Apterygiformes; Apterygidae. The record is from RNAcentral.
AUGGAGCAGUUUAAUCGACCCCUCCAGCCCAGAAGGAUCCUGGCUGUGUCCGGUUGGGGGAAACUGAGGCCCCGAGCGGUGACGUGGCCAAAUCGCACGCCCCUCCCAAGGAGUCAGACUUGGAGCCCGGACAGGGACCCAGGAGUCCUGCCCCAUCUCUGGCCGCGCAACAGCGGGAACUCCCUGCCUGAGCGUUAUUCCUGCUGCUUCUCCCCUUCCUGCUUCGCGGCCCGGCUUGGCGCAUCCCCCCGUGCUGGGCUGCCCUUUCUCCCAGCUCUCGGCACGUUUAUCCAGCUUCUCGGCACGUUUAUCCAGCUGUGCUGCUGGCAAAGAAGGAGAAAUUCAGAAAUCCUCUCCUUUCCCUGCCGGUGGAGUCCUGCUCGGCCGCCUGGGAGACAUCAGAGAAAGGAUCCUAGCUCUCCGCGAAGGGCUGCUCCCUGCUGCAUGCUCCCGUGCCCCUGGCUGCCGGCGCAUGCGGGAUUUUGGAGCGAAAGCCACCUUAGCCCCCACCCCACCUGCUUCCUUGGCCACAGCUCCAUGCUGCUAGAAAUGCCACCGAACGUCUCAUCCGUCCCGCUUCCCAACUGGCUCGGGAACCUGCCCAGAGCGGAUGAGCUGUGGCCGUGCUCAGGCACGCAGGGGUCGGGAGGCUCCAUCCCAGGGGUUUCCAGCAAAACGGGGUGCUUUUUUCCCUUUUGGGGUACAAAGGACCCACCGGCUCCGGGCAGCUCCCUGCAAAUUGCUGCAACUGGGCUUCGGUCCAUGGCAUCCAUGGGCAUCUUUGGUGCCAGUGCAGGGCUUGGGCCCCGGGGUUGCGCUGGGAUGAGUUUUUUCCCUUCCCCUGCGCUCCACUCGUGUCCUGCCGGGAGCGAACCUGGCCAGGGCCGGGCCGUUCUCCCACGGUGCCCAUGGGUUUCCUCGCGAUGGAAAGGCCCCGGAGCUCUCCGCAGCUGGAGGAGGGCUGGUGGGUCAUCUGCCUCCCCCUCCGCUCGCCUCCUGGUUGCAAUCCCCGGGAGAGAGCGCGGCGGAGGAGAGGAAACUUUACCUCCUGGGCAAUUUGACAGCUGCGCGAGCCUGGAGAUGAGCCUGCGAAGGGAAAUUUCUUUUUGCUUUUCUUUGCUUUUUGCUCACGUGACCAAAAAGUUCUGGGUGUUUUUUUUUCCUGCCUGCGGUCGAUUGAUCGGUUUGGUUUAUAACGCUGAAACGCUGUGUGCCCUUGUCCCCCAGGACGUCCCCGUGGAGGAGCGCAGACCUCCUGGGUUGAUGCAUUGCAGGCGCUCUCUGCUCGAGAUAUGA